CGGGGUUUAAAAGGGUAUUUUU
This 22-nucleotide microRNA is filed under the name Capitella teleta. RNAcentral's name for it is "Cte-Mir-193-P2_5p* (star (passenger))". The record is from RNAcentral. Lineage: Eukaryota; Metazoa; Annelida; Polychaeta; Capitellidae.